AGGCCCGUGACGGAACUGGCAUACGCAGCUGCCUCAAGAGCAGCCUUUUGUGGGUUCAACUCCCACCGGGCCUGCCA
Molecule: transfer RNA, 77 nt
Filed under: Acidobacteriota bacterium
Lineage: Bacteria; Pseudomonadati; Acidobacteriota
Description: Acidobacteria bacterium tRNA-Leu
Rfam family: tRNA
About the family: Transfer RNA (tRNA) molecules are approximately 80 nucleotides in length. Their secondary structure includes four short double-helical elements and three loops (D, anti-codon, and T loops).
Source: RNAcentral